AUUGCCUACGGGGGGCAGCAGUGGGGAAUAUUGGGCAAUGGGCGCAAGCCUGACCCAGCAACGCCGCGUGAAGGAGGAAGGCUUUCGGGUUGUAAACUUCUUUUCUCAGGGACGAAGCAAGUGACGGUACCUGAGGAAUAAGCCACGGCUAACUAGGUGCCAGCAGCCGCGGUAAUACGUAGGUGGCAAGCGUUAUCCGGAUUUACUGGGUGUAAAGGGCGUGGAGGCGGGGAAGGAAGUGAGAU
Molecule: ribosomal RNA, 245 nt
Filed under: uncultured bacterium
Lineage: Bacteria
Description: partial 16S ribosomal RNA
Rfam family: Bacterial small subunit ribosomal RNA
Source: RNAcentral